This is a long non-coding RNA of Triticum dicoccoides, 1307 nucleotides long. RefSeq lists it as uncharacterized. NCBI's taxonomy places the organism in Eukaryota, Viridiplantae, Streptophyta, Magnoliopsida, Poales, Poaceae. The transcript has 3 exons. The record is from RefSeq and is a predicted model, not a curated record.
CAAGCAUACGAAUCUAAUCAACAAUGGAGAAGAAACUGGGUGCCCCUAUCUCUCAAUUUAUGAGCUUUUCAAACUUGCAGUUCUCAUAACAACAGGAAAGCCAAUCGAGGAAGUAAAUUUGCCCGCUGAUCUCGCACACUUUCUACGCUAUUUACAGAGAGCAACCAACAUAGAUAAAAGAUUGAUUACAAACCACUCAGCCACCAGAUUUCCGGAGGAGAGGAUUCAGAGGAACAAGUCAUACAAUUAUCUGUUUCGGACUGAAUUCAAGCACUUUUAUGCAACGCCAGCUGCAGCGCGAAGUUACUACGUGUUUCAGGCAUUGGGGCUAAUCUUCCCCCAGGAGCUGUUAACACCUGCAGGUCUUCAUCCAUUGAUCGAUUAUUGGGCUUCUUACAAUCAAGAGAUGAUCCGUCAGCAGUCUGGAAAUGGAGCCAUCCUGACCCAUCAACGCCCAAUUGUUGUUCCUCGAUUUAAUACUGUUUAUGAACUCGGAAACCGGUUGAUUGCACUCUGUAGGGAUCCCUUUGAACAUCCCUAUGGACCAUUAUAUGCUGAUCCAUCAUAUGCUGAUCUUUAUCCGUACCUUGAGAUGGGUUACAGCAUUUUUCAAAUAGAGCAGCUAAUAAAUCACCUAAUUCCACUGUAUGGGCCUACCGCCGAUGAACAAAUUCUGGUGCACAGUUUGUGGGAUAAUGUGUUCACUGGUCAGCGGCCACUGCCCCCACAUGCUAAUUGGACUGAUAUAAGUGGCGCGCGGAACCGGGCAAGAUGAACGCCGAGAAAAACAAGACUUUGGCAGAUGUUCUUGUUCGCUCAGACACCCCGUAGGAAGGACGAAGGUUUCUCAGAACUGCAGAUGCUGCUCUAUAAUCAGUUAUGAAGUUUUUUUGUGGGGUAAUCAAUUAGGAAGCUGAUGGUGGUAGUUUACUGAACUCUCAUUUUGGGGGAAAUCUGGAGAUGUCUUGGUCUGAUGGAGUUUUGUGAUCAACUUACUGUAUCCCGUUUUGAGGGCAAGUUGUGGAGAUUUUCUAGGCGAUAGGUUCACGGCAGAGCAUUCCAGCAAAUUUGCAAAAUUAAUCAGCAUGUAACGUCCAUCACCGAACGUUUAGUAGCUAGAUGAUACAUUCUUAGGGAAAGAUUGCUGCUUGGACAUGUUUAAUGUUAGGAGAAAGCUUAUGGGAUCUCUGUGUAUGUUAUCCAUGCGGCAUUGGCGGUUUGUUCCACUUCUAAUGUAGUAUUAGUAUUCAUGCGCUGAGUAAUACAGUAUCUACUUUUGUGUUAAUUGAUGGUAUAUUGCUCUUGUA